AAGAGUUUGAUCCUGGCUCAGGAUGAACGCUGGCGGCGUGCUUAACACAUGCAAGUCGAACGCGAAAGGGACUUCGGUCCCGAGUAGAGUGGCGCACGGGUGAGUAACGCGUAAGUAAUCUACCCCUGUAUUCGGAAUACCCCACCGAAAGGUGAGCUAAUACCGGAUACGUUGAGUAAUCAGGAAAGGUGGCNNNNNNNNNNNNNNNCUGUAUAUGCUCCUGUCGCUAGAUGAGUCCGCGGCCCAUUAGCUAGUUGGUAGGGUAAUGGCCUACCAAGGCGACGAUGGUUAGCGGGUCUGAGAGGAUGAUCCGCCACACUGGAACUGGAACACGGACCAGACUCCUACGGGAGGCAGCAGUGAGGAAUAUUGCGCAAUGGGGGCAACCCUGACGCAGCGACGCCGCGUGGAUGAUGAAGGCCCUUGGGUCGUAAAAUCCUGUCAGAUGGAAAGAAAUGCCACAGGGCUAAUAUCUUUGUGGUUUGACGGUACCAUCAAAGGAAGCACCGGCUAACUCCGUGCCAGCAGCCGCGGUAAUACGGAGGGUGCAAGCGUUGUUCGGAAUUACUGGGCGUAAAGCGCGCGUAGGCGGUUUGCUCAGUCAGAUGUGAAAGCCCUCGGCUUAACCGGGGACGUGCAUUUGAAACUGGCAGACUUGAGUAUUGGAGGGGGUGGUGGAAUUCCCGGUGUAGAGGUGAAAUGCGUAGAUAUUAGGAGGAACACCAGUGGCGAAGGCGACUUCCUGGCUUGUAACUGACACUGAGGCGCGAAAGCGUGGGGAUCAAACAGGAUUAGAUACCCUGGUAGUCCACGCCGUAAACGAUGAGUGCUAGGUGUCGGGGGUAUCGACCCCCUCGGUGCCACAGCUAACGCAAUAAGCACUCCGCCUGGGGAGUACGGUCGCAAGACUGAAACUCAAAGGAAUUGACGGGGGCCCGCACAAGCGGUGGAGUAUGUGGUUUAAUUCGACGCAACGCGAAGAACCUUACCAAGGCUUGACAUCCCGUGACAGCUGUGGAAACACGAGAGUGCCUCGCAAGAGGAGCCUGGUGACAGGUGCUGCAUGGCUGUCGUCAGCUCGUGUCGUGAGAUGUUGGGUUAAGUCCCGCAACGAGCGCAACCCUUAUCUUUAGUUGCCAUCAUUCAGUUGGGCACUCUAUAUGGGACUGCCGGUGUCAAACCGGAGGAAGGUGGGGAUGACGUCAAGUCCUCAUGGCCUUUAUGACCAGGGCUACACACGUACUACAAUGGCCGGUACAAAGGGCAGCAACACAGCGAUGUGAAGCCAAUCCCAUAAAGCCGGUCUCAGUCCGGAUUGGAGUCUGCAACUCGACUCCAUGAAGUUGGAAUCGCUAGUAAUCGUGGAUCAGCACGCCACGGUGAAUACGUUCCCGGGCCUUGUACACACCGCCCGUCACACCACGGGAGUUGGUUGUACCAGAAGCAGUUGAGCUAACCGCAAGGAGGCAGGCUGCCAAGGUAUGGCUAGUAACUGGGGUGAAGUCGUAACAAGGUAACC
RNAcentral lists this ribosomal RNA (1519 nucleotides) under uncultured bacterium. RNAcentral describes it as "16S ribosomal RNA". It matches the Rfam family "Bacterial small subunit ribosomal RNA". The record is from RNAcentral.